Molecule: transfer-messenger RNA, 356 nt
Filed under: Opitutaceae
Lineage: Bacteria; Pseudomonadati; Verrucomicrobiota; Opitutia; Opitutales
Also listed under: 1 other name
Description: KSB-15 sp019464535 Standard tmRNA
Rfam family: transfer-messenger RNA
About the family: Bacterial tmRNA, also known as 10Sa RNA or SsrA, is named for its dual tRNA and mRNA-like properties. Its role is to liberate the mRNA from a stalled ribosome.
Source: RNAcentral
GGGGGUGUUCUGGAUUCGAUCCUUGGUUGGAGUGCGCCGCUGCCUGUCGAGAGUCGUGGGUCUCUCGUAAAUCCCCCUGCGAACCAAUAAUAGGCAAAUACGAAGAAAUGCCCAUGGCCGCUUAAUUAAAGCGGCCUUGUUGGACCGGCGACACCUGCUAGCCGGCCCGACAACGACAGCAGGUAUAGCGCGUGGAGCCGUCCGCGGACCGCGCGUCGUAUCUUCAUCCGGGGACUGGCCGAUGCUUAAGCGCGCGUAACCGCGUAACAUCGGCGAGAUUAAUGGUGCGCUAAACAUGGUAGACGCGGUGUGCGAAGGUCAGGGACACGCGGGUUCAACUCCCGCCACCUCCACCA